Varanus komodoensis (Komodo dragon) is the source of this 435-nucleotide long non-coding RNA. RefSeq lists it as uncharacterized. NCBI's taxonomy places the organism in Eukaryota, Metazoa, Chordata, Lepidosauria, Squamata, Varanidae. The record is from RefSeq and is a predicted model, not a curated record. The transcript has 3 exons.
UUCACUCCAGGAGAGCGAAAGUAUUGGAUGAGCCAGUCCUACAGCGCCCGCCGGUUGCCGAAAAAGCAGGAAAUGCAUCCACGAGAGGGGGCAGCUGCAAUUUUAGGAAGAACGAAAAGCAUUUAAAAAGAAAUAUGUCCCACCACGGUGCAGAAGAUGGUAUUUGCCAAGCUCUUCUCCAGCACCAUGUUUUGAGUGCUCGCAUGUUCUUCCUGCCUGCUUUCUUGACUGUCCAGCUUUCACACCUGUGCAUAGUUCCCUGGAAUCCAGGUGUGUGGAUUGGCAUCAAGGCUGUUCAGUGAAAAGAAAGCGAGACCACAGUCAGAUGCUUCUCACGUCCUCUCCAAGACGCAGGAGUCGGAAUCUGCGGGUGCUGUCAUCUGAUGUGUUAAUAUCUGGGUAGGUAGCAUGGCAGCUUUGGUGCCCCUUUACUUG